Non-coding RNA from Sus scrofa (pig), 667 nucleotides. NCBI's taxonomy places the organism in Eukaryota, Metazoa, Chordata, Mammalia, Artiodactyla, Suidae. The record is from the annotation of a RefSeq genome assembly.
GCAGUGGCAGUCGGGACCCAGCAUGAACAUGAGGGCCCCCAUGCAGCUCCUCAGGCUCUUGCUGCUCUGGCUCCCAGGUGCCAGCUGUGCCAUCCAGAUGACCCAGUCUCCAGCCUCCCUGGCUGCAUCUCUAGGAGACACAGUCUCCAUCACUUGCCGGGCCAGUCAGAGUGUUAGCAAUAAUUUAGCCUGGUAUCAACAACAAGCAGGGAAGGCUCCUAAGCUCCUCAUUUACUGGGCCUCCGCUUUGCAAAGUGGAGUCCCUUCCCGGUUCAAGGGCAGUGUAUCUGGCACAGAUUUCACCCUCACCAUCAGUGGCCUGCAGGCUGAAGAUGUUGCAACUUAUUCUUGUCAGCAGCUUAACAGUGCACCUCCCACAGUGUUACAGGCCAGCACAAACCCCCCCCUCCCCGGGGAAGCAGAUGUGUGAGGCUGGCCACCCCAGCUGCUCUUGGUGCCUCCAACCGCUGAGAGCAUUUCUCAGACCACACUAGAAGGUCAUGGCAAGUUUUUGCUAGAAGGGCCAGGGAAUAUUGUGUGCAGAAUUCAAGUGGGUAUUGUUUUCAAGUUUGGGAGAAAAACAUGAUAGGACUUUUCUUUCUGUAUGCAACCACUGGCGUGUCCCCACAAUGGCUGUACCAUGUUGCAUCCCCACCAGCAAUGAAUA